AUGAAAGAAAGGAAAAAGGUGGGCGAGCGGGAAGGACCGGGGCGUCGCCCACGACGCAGACGAGACCGGCGGCGGCUUAUGGUGGCGCGGUCGAUGAGGACCUGCUGGAUCUCGCCGGAUCUGGUGGGAUGGCGCGCAGAUCUCUCUCCGAUCCUUUCCCAGAUCUUCUCCUGCUACCUAGGGUUCCCCACCGCAGGCGCACCUCGGCAGCCAUCGAGGCGACCACUGCCGCCUGCAGGCGGAACGAGGCGGAGGAGAACCUCCUGGUACGACGUGAGGAGGAGACGUACGGAUGAACUUAAAGAUCAGGAGAGACAUACUGGCCGGGACAAUCUUUAA
RNAcentral lists this ribosomal RNA (339 nucleotides) under Triticum aestivum (bread wheat). RNAcentral describes it as "partial small subunit ribosomal RNA". Lineage: Eukaryota; Viridiplantae; Streptophyta; Magnoliopsida; Poales; Poaceae. The record is from RNAcentral.